RNAcentral lists this ribosomal RNA (253 nucleotides) under uncultured bacterium. Its description in RNAcentral is "partial 16S ribosomal RNA". It matches the Rfam family "Bacterial small subunit ribosomal RNA", at positions 524 to 776 of the family's 1533-position model. The record is from RNAcentral.
UACGUAGGGUGCAAGCGUUGUCCGGAAUUAUUGGGCGUAAAGAGCUCGUAGGCGGUCUGUCGCGUCGGAUGUGAAAAUCCAGGGCUCAACCCUGGACCUGCAUUCGAUACGGGCAGACUAGAGUUCGGCAGGGGAGACUGGAAUUCCUGGUGUAGCGGUGAAAUGCGUAGAUAUCUGGAGGAACACCGGUGGCGAAGGCGGCAUCCUGGACCGAAAUUGACGCUGAGGCGCGAAAGCCAGGGGAGCAAACGGG